UUAAGCGACUAAGCGUACACGGUGGAUGCCCUGGCAGUCAGAGGCGAUGAAGGACGUGCUAAUCUGCGAAAAGCGUCGGUAAGGUGAUAUGAACCGUUACAGCCGGCGAUGUCCGAAUGGGGAAACCCAGUGCAAUUCGUUGCACUAUCGUUAACUGAAUACAUAGGUUAACGAGGCGAACCGGGGGAACUGAAACAUCUAAGUACCCCGAGGAAAAGAAAUCAACCGAGAUUCCCCCAGUAGCGGCGAGCGAACGGGGAGCAGCCCAGAGUCUGAAUCAGCUUGUGUGUUAGUGGAACGGUCUGGAAAGUCCGACGGUACAGGGUGAUAGUCCCGUACACCAAAAUGCACAGGCUGUGAACUCGAAGAGUAGGGCGGGACACGUGGUAUCCUGUCUGAAUAUGGGGGGACCAUCCUCCAAGGCUAAAUACUCCUGACUGACCGAUAGUGAACCAGUACCGUGAGGGAAAGGCGAAAAGAACCCCGGCGAGGGGAGUGAAAAAGAACCUGAAACCGUGUACGUACAAGCAGUGGGAGCACCUUCGGGUGUGACUGCGUACCUUUUGUAUAAUGGGUCAGCGACUUAUAUUCUGUAGCAAGGUUAACCGUAUAGGGGAGCCGCAGGGAAACCGAGUCUUAACUGGGCGUUAAGUUGCAGGGUAUAGACCCGAAACCCGGUGAUCUAGCCAUGGGCAGGUUGAAGGUUGGGUAACACUAACUGGAGGACCGAACCGACUAAUGUUGAAAAAUUAGCGGAUGACUUGUGGCUGGGGGUGAAAGGCCAAUCAAACCGGGAGAUAGCUGGUUCUCCCCGAAAGCUAUUUAGGUAGCGCCUCGUGAAUUCAUCUUCGGGGGUAGAGCACUGUUUCGGCUAGGGGGUCAUCCCGACUUACCAACCCGAUGCAAACUACGAAUACCGAAGAAUGUUAUCACGGGAGACACACGGCGGGUGCUAACGUCCGUCGUGAAGAGGGAAACAACCCAGACCGCCAGCUAAGGUCCCAAAGUCAUGGUUAAGUGGGAAACGAUGUGGGAAGGCACAGACAGCCAGGAUGUUGGCUUAGAAGCAGCCAUCAUUUAAAGAAAGCGUAAUAGCUCACUGGUCGAGUCGGCCUGCGCGGAAGAUGUAACGGGGCUAAACCAUGCACCGAAGCUGCGGCAGCGACACUAUGUGUUGUUGGGUAGGGGAGCGUUCUGUAAGCCUGCGAAGGUGUGCUGUGAGGCAUGCUGGAGGUAUCAGAAGUGCGAAUGCUGACAUAAGUAACGAUAAAGCGGGUGAAAAGCCCGCUCGCCGGAAGACCAAGGGUUCCUGUCCAACGUUAAUCGGGGCAGGGUGAGUCGACCCCUAAGGCGAGGCCGAAAGGCGUAGUCGAUGGGAAACAGGUUAAUAUUCCUGUACUUGGUGUUACUGCGAAGGGGGGACGGAGAAGGCUAUGUUAGCCGGGCGACGGUUGUCCCGGUUUAAGCAUGUAGGCUGGUUGUCCAGGCAAAUCCGGAUAAUCAAGGCUGAGGUGUGAUGACGAGGCACUACGGUGCUGAAGUAACAAAUGCCCUGCUUCCAGGAAAAGCCUCUAAGCAUCAGGUAACAUCAAAUCGUACCCCAAACCGACACAGGUGGUCAGGUAGAGAAUACCAAGGCGCUUGAGAGAACUCGGGUGAAGGAACUAGGCAAAAUGGUGCCGUAACUUCGGGAGAAGGCACGCUGGUGUGUAGGUGAAGUCCCUGCGGAUGGAGCUGAGACCAGUCGAAGAUACCAGCUGGCUGCAACUGUUUAUUAAAAACACAGCACUGUGCAAACACGAAAGUGGACGUAUACGGUGUGACGCCUGCCCGGUGCCGGAAGGUUAAUUGAUGGGGUUAUCCGUAAGGAGAAGCUCUUGAUCGAAGCCCCGGUAAACGGCGGCCGUAACUAUAACGGUCCUAAGGUAGCGAAAUUCCUUGUCGGGUAAGUUCCGACCUGCACGAAUGGCGUAAUGAUGGCCAGGCUGUCUCCACCCGAGACUCAGUGAAAUUGAACUCGCUGUGAAGAUGCAGUGUACCCGCGGCAAGACGGAAAGACCCCGUGAACCUUUACUAUAGCUUGACACUGAACAUUGAGCCUUGAUGUGUAGGAUAGGUGGGAGGCUUUGAAGCGUGGACGCCAGUCUGCGUGGAGCCAACCUUGAAAUACCACCCUUUAAUGUUUGAUGUUCUAACGUUGGCCCCUUACCGGGGUUGCGGACAGUGUCUGGUGGGUAGUUUGACUGGGGCGGUCUCCUCCCAAAGCGUAACGGAGGAGCACGAAGGUUAGCUAAUCCUGGUCGGACAUCAGGAGGUUAGUGCAAUGGCAUAAGCUAGCUUGACUGCGAGCGUGACGGCGCGAGCAGGUGCGAAAGCAGGUCAUAGUGAUCCGGUGGUUCUGAAUGGAAGGGCCAUCGCUCAACGGAUAAAAGGUACUCCGGGGAUAACAGGCUGAUACCGCCCAAGAGUUCAUAUCGACGGCGGUGUUUGGCACCUCGAUGUCGGCUCAUCACAUCCUGGGGCUGAAGUAGGUCCCAAGGGUAUGGCUGUUCGCCAUUUAAAGUGGUACGCGAGCUGGGUUUAGAACGUCGUGAGACAGUUCGGUCCCUAUCUGCCGUGGGCGCUGGAGAAUUGAGGGGGGCUGCUCCUAGUACGAGAGGACCGGAGUGGACGCAUCACUGGUGUUCGGGUUGUCAUGCCAAUGGCACUGCCCGGUAGCUAAAUGCGGAAGAGAUAAGUGCUGAAAGCAUCUAAGCACGAAACUUGCCCCGAGAUGAGUUCUCCCUGAGACUUUAAGUCUCCUGAAGGAACGUUGAAGACGACGACGUUGAUAGGCCGGGUGUGUAAGCGCAGCGAUGCGUUGAGCUAACCGGUACUAAUGAACCGUGAGGCUUAACCUU
This 2900-nucleotide ribosomal RNA is filed under the name Klebsiella pneumoniae. RNAcentral describes it as "23S ribosomal RNA". It matches the Rfam family "Bacterial large subunit ribosomal RNA". Lineage: Bacteria; Pseudomonadati; Pseudomonadota; Gammaproteobacteria; Enterobacterales; Enterobacteriaceae. The record is from RNAcentral.